UACAGAGGUCCCCGAGCGUUGUCCGGAAUCAUUGGGCGUAAAGAGCGCGUAGGCGGCUAUCCACGUCGGAUGUGAAAGCUCGGGGCUCAACCCUGAGAGGCCAUUCGAUACGGGGUAGCUAGAGGCAGCUAGGGGAGAAUGGAAUUCCUGGUGUAGCGGUGAAAUGCGCAGAUAUCAGGAGGAACACCGGUGGCGAAGGCGGGUCUCUGGGCCGAUACUGACGCUGAGGAGCGAAAGCGUGGGGAGCGAACAGGAUUAGAUACCC
RNAcentral lists this ribosomal RNA (265 nucleotides) under uncultured bacterium. RNAcentral's name for it is "partial 16S ribosomal RNA". It matches the Rfam family "Bacterial small subunit ribosomal RNA", at positions 524 to 787 of the family's 1533-position model. The record is from RNAcentral.